UGGGGCAGUGCUGUUUAAACAUAGGCACUCCCUCCUCUGCCCCAACCCCAGCCUCAUAUCCACUUCCCCUUGUCAGGAAGGAGCCCAGGUGCCGCCUCUCUGUGACCAUGCACCCCUCUCUGUCCUUGCCACUUUCAGUUCCAGGCUUGAGCCCAGAAAUUCUUUGUUUGCCAGCGAGCCCCUCAGAGGCCGCUGCACAGUUAGACUUCAGCUCCGCUCGCCACUAGACCCUUGGCACCCACGCGUGGAGGUGCGGCUGCCCCCACUCAAAGCCUGGGAGCUCCCCGAGGGCAGCGACCCGCUCCUUCAUCUUGGUGUCGCCGCCACCCAGCGAAAUGCUCUGCGAACGGUUGUGAGCCUGGACACAUUAUUCCUCCUGGUGGCAGCUCGGUUUGCGCAUCUACGAAGUGGGCGUCACAACACACAUUGUGUCAUCUCACCCCCGUUCUUGCUUCCCAUACCUGGGCAUCCCUCCUGGAGAAGGCAACAGAAUUCAGCUCUGGACACUGGCUGAGGCUGCCUCUCUGAGCAGUGCCUGGAGCAGAACGCAGGCUCAGUAAAUCCUUGCAGGCUGGGCUGAGCAGUGCAGAAUCCCUGGAUAUCUGAUGCCUAACCUCUUGGAAGCAGCUUCAAUCAACCCACGGCAGUGCACAGACCCCCUAAUUGCUCAGCCGACUUGUGCUGACUUCGCCAUCUUUGUGUUGCCCACCGUAAUUUGUUAGGGCCAAAAACAUAACCCAAAUCUAUAGUUACGCGCAAGAUGGUACAUGGAAAUUUUGAGGCUGCGGUGUCCUGGUACACUACACAGGGGGCUGUGGUUACAUAAGACCAGGGACUUGUGCCCCCUGAAGGAGACAGUGCACGGCAGAGUGGAAGCCAGUGGGCUUUGGAGUCAGAUGAAUAUUGAUCUCAGUUCUACCUACUCUACUGAUUGAUUGGCUGUGUGACCUUAGGCUUCUCUAAGCCUCAAUUUUCUCAUCUGUAAAAUGGAGGUGAGACCAUCUGCCUUAAAGGGUUGUAUGGACCAGAUGAAGCGACAUGUACAGGUGUUGGACAGCAGGAGAGGGGGCAGUGGAAGUUUCUAGCACUCUCAUAGGGAGUAUCCAGUGUGGGCGAUGCCAAAGAUGGUGUCCUGAUCAGGCCCUUCCUGAGAUGUGACCUCAGUGAGUCUCUGCGGGCUAGCCUCCCUCGGUUUCUGCCCAUUUUUUCUGAGUCGUCUGCAUUAGCCAUUGAUUCUGUGAUCCACAUGAUAGCUGAACUUCACUUAUGAUGGCCAAAGUCUGCAUCCGAUGUCUGCAGCCGAGAACCUGGAUUGAUUCAGAACUUGAAGCUCCUAGUACAAUGCCUGGAACAAAAGAAGCCUUCCACAAAUGAUAGCCAGGAAUUGUUAGAAAAUUAUAUCCAUCCGUCCAUCCAUCCAUUUAACAAGCAAAUAUUGAGUACCUUGGGGCGCCUGGGUGGCACAGCGGUUGAGCGUCUGCCUUCGGCUCAGGGUGUGAUCCCGGCGUU
Long non-coding RNA from Ailuropoda melanoleuca (giant panda), 1509 nucleotides. RefSeq lists it as uncharacterized. The transcript has 5 exons. Lineage: Eukaryota; Metazoa; Chordata; Mammalia; Carnivora; Ursidae. The record is from RefSeq and is a predicted model, not a curated record.